Molecule: long non-coding RNA, 441 nt
Organism: Jaculus jaculus (lesser Egyptian jerboa)
Lineage: Eukaryota; Metazoa; Chordata; Mammalia; Rodentia; Dipodidae
Exons: 3
Source: RefSeq, a predicted model, not a curated record
CUGUGAGCUGUGGCCCUAAAGCCGUCCACCAGCUCGCAGCCCUCCAGUUGAUUUCUUCAGUCAGCCAAGUUUAAGAAGCUCAGCACAGCUCUGGGGCGCCCAGCCCUGGCCAGGAAGUGAUCAGCACUACGACUGUCUACUGCAGGAGGGACAAGGACACAAGUGGGUUCCUGGAAAGGCCAGAGUUAAUGACCAGAGCCAGGGAUGCUGGCACGGGAAGCACUCCUUACCCAUCCCACACCGGGGUGAGCCACACAGAGCCACUACCGACAGCUUCAGUGCCCCAGGAAGUGCCACAAGCGAGUCCAGAUAGACCUGAGUGGCUCUCGGUGAGUGACACUUGGUGAGGUCUGCUGCUGGGAACCAGCUUCAAGUUGUCUGUCAUGAAACUCCCAAGAAUCCAGACGAGCUGCAGUCAGCUUGCUGAGGACGCAGCACCAU